UACGAAGGGGGCUAGCGUUGUUCGGAAUUACUGGGCGUAAAGCGCACGUAGGCGGAUCGAUCAGUCAGGGGUGAAAUCCCGGGGCUCAACCUCGGAACUGCCUUUGAUACUGCGGGUCUUGAGUCCGAUAGAGGUGGGUGGAAUUCCUAGUGUAGAGGUGAAAUUCGUAGAUAUUAGGAAGAACACCGGUGGCGAAGGCGGCCCACUGGAUCGGUACUGACGCUGAGGUGCGAAAGCGUGGGGAGCAAACAGG
Molecule: ribosomal RNA, 253 nt
Filed under: uncultured bacterium
Lineage: Bacteria
Description: partial 16S ribosomal RNA
Rfam family: Bacterial small subunit ribosomal RNA
Source: RNAcentral